GUUCCCAUUACUGGAAACAGAACUUCAGAAAAAUCUAUGCCAUCUCUGAACAAGACUUUGUGGAGUUCCAGAAUGGAAGAAGAGCUAAAGUAAGGUAAUACAACAUUUUGAGCUUGAAAUCAUAGAGCCUGUGAACAAAAUGGUCCAAAUUUAGGCUCCAUUGUGUGCUAGUGACUUUGAAUGUUUUUUUCAAAUAUCAGUUCUUAUGCAUUAUUAUUAUUUGUACUACAUUUGAUAGUCUGCUUUUUUGUUGUUGUUGUUGUCUUGACCAUCCUUUCUUUACUGUCACUACAUUUUAAGUCGAGGGUCUGGGCCGAAUGAAGGAUGCCUUUACCUGUCUUGUUUGUAAAGCACACUUCCAGCUCUAUUCUAAAAGGGAAGAUGUUAGUCCUAAUGUCGUUUUUAAUUAUUCUCUUGACAUCAGACUAUAGCAAAGGUCAAAUAGAGAUGCAUGCUUUUAACCACAAGACAGUGGACUGCAAUGAGAGGACUGUCUUACAGUGCAACAUCAGCUCAUCAGAGCCAUUGAACAUUGUUAAAGUGUACUGGAAAAAACUAGAAGAGAAAGAUUUUGAAUGUGAUCCAGCAUCCAGCAACGACCCUCCAGGAUUUGAGUGCAAAUACACAGGGGAAGCAAUGACAUUAACCAUCUCAAAUCCCACACCAGCAAACAUGGGCACAUACUUUUGUUGUAUAAAGACAGACUCCGGACAUGACAAAAAACAAAUUUAUGUGUCUAUAGGACAAUGCACUGGAGAAUUCUCCAACCAGAUGGCUGGACACAAACAAGUGGAGUGUAGCUUCAAUGGUGUGUACCCAGAGGCCAAAAUAAACUGGUAUCAUUAUGACAUGAACCUGACUUCCAACUCUACAACCACAAGCCUGGAGAACACUGAUGGAACGUUCAACAUCACAAGUGUCCUCAACAUCCAGGACAAUCACAAGAGAUAUAACUGCUCACUGUGGUCACUCAAAUAUGGACGACACAGUGAUCAAGAGUUUGAAGUGGGAGAUCAAGCUGAGUUCAGUCCUGUUAGCAGGAUCAGCACACAACAUUUUUUAUCAUGGACUCUUGUUUUCAUUGAGAGCCUGUUUGUCUUCAUAAUCUUCACAUAAUGACUCAACCCAACUAUCCCAAGACCUGACGACAAAAUCAAAGAUCUGGGGGAGUUUCAUAAAUUGAAUUUGCCAGAUAAGCUGAUCAUCUAUUCAAUAUUUGACCCACAACUUCAUGACUUGUAUUAUUUAAGAAAACGCUCAUAUUAAAAACCCAAACUAUUUCAUACAGCAUUUUGAAAAUGCAUUUAUUCACAUUCUUUAUGCAAAAUAAUGUAUGAUCUCAAAUUAAUUGAAAGACUACACUGAAUAUACUGUAAAAAAUGUGAAAAGCUUUGUCAUUUUAGUGUCAUUGAGAUACAUGUAUAGUUUUUAUAAAAUAGUUUUUAUUUUUACAUUUUGCAAUUUCGUUUUAAUUUUUGUUCAAGUCUGUUUAACGUCAAUUUGUUUUUGUCAUUUUAUUGUUUUUAAUGUCUAUAUAGUUUUUUUUUUAUUAUUAUUUUAGUUUCAGUUAUUUUGAUACGUCAAUAAAUGAAAAUGAGAAAUGUUUCCUUUCCUCUGU
Long non-coding RNA from Cyprinus carpio (common carp), 1618 nucleotides. NCBI's taxonomy places the organism in Eukaryota, Metazoa, Chordata, Actinopteri, Cypriniformes, Cyprinidae. The record is from Ensembl.